ACNCUCGACACCUACGGAGGCAGCAGUAGGGAAUCUUCCACAAUGGGCGCAAGCCUGAUGGAGCAACACCGCGUGAGUGAAGAAGGGUUUCGGCUCGUAAAGCUCUGUUGUUGGAGAAGAACGUGCGUGAGAGUAACUGUUCACGCAGUGACGGUAUCCAACCAGAAAGUCACGGCUAACUACGUGCUAGCAGCCGCGGUAAUCUGAGCGGGCUGGCAAGGC
RNAcentral lists this ribosomal RNA (222 nucleotides) under uncultured bacterium. RNAcentral describes it as "partial 16S ribosomal RNA". It matches the Rfam family "Bacterial small subunit ribosomal RNA", at positions 328 to 539 of the family's 1533-position model. The record is from RNAcentral.